This 274-nucleotide ribosomal RNA is filed under the name uncultured bacterium. RNAcentral's name for it is "partial 16S ribosomal RNA". It matches the Rfam family "Bacterial small subunit ribosomal RNA", at positions 523 to 796 of the family's 1533-position model. The record is from RNAcentral.
AUACGGAGGGUGCAAGCGUUGUUCGGAAUCACUGGGCGUAAAGGGCGCGCAGGCGGUUUUACAAGUCAGAUGUGAAAGCCCACGGCUUAACCGUGGAAGUGCAUUUUAAACUGUAAGACUUGAGUAUCAGAGGGGAAGGUGGAAUUCCCGGUGUAGAGGUGAAAUUCGUAGAUAUCGGGAGGAAUACCGGUGGCGAAGGCGACUUUCUGGCUGAAUACUGACGCUGAGGCGCGAAAGCGUGGGGAGCAAACAGGAUUAGAAACCCCAGUAGUCC